RNAcentral lists this ribosomal RNA (393 nucleotides) under Haptolina brevifila. Its description in RNAcentral is "partial Bacterial small subunit ribosomal RNA". It matches the Rfam family "Bacterial small subunit ribosomal RNA", at positions 303 to 728 of the family's 1533-position model. Lineage: Eukaryota; Haptophyta; Prymnesiales; Prymnesiaceae. The record is from RNAcentral.
UUCUACCCGAUUAAUUCUGAGACAAUAAUUAAAUUCCAAUGAAUCGCAGUCAAGAAUAUUGGACAAUGAACGAAAGUUUGAUCCAGUGAUUUUGAUUAGGUGUUUAAAAUCCAUUUUAAAAUACCUUAAAAUACAAAGAAAAAUGAUCGUUGUAUGUUAAUCUUCUCUAAUCGCGUGCCAGAAGAGUCGGUAAUACGCGAAAGAUGAACGUUACACGAAAAGACUAGGUUUAAAUAGCGAUUAGAAUAAAAUACACCACAAAAACAAAAUUUUGAAGACUCAGAAUUUUUUGAAAAACUGUGUUUUUUGAGUGAAUUAAAUGGAAAUAGAAUGAUUGAUAGUAACGAUAAAAUGUUUUUUUCAAUUGGAAUAUCAUUAUGUGAAGACAAUUUU